GCAGAUCUCCUUCGGGGGUGACGCUUGUGGAACGAGCGGCGGACGGGUGAGUAACACGUGGGCAACCUACCUGUAAGACUGGGAUAACCCCGGGAAACCGGGGCUAAUACCGGAUGAUACAUAUCGUCGCAUGACGAGAUGUUGAAAGGCGGCAUAUGCUGUCACUUACAGAUGGGCCCGCGGCGCAUUAGCUAGUUGGUGAGAUAAAAGCUCACCAAGGCGACGAUGCGUAGCCGACCUGAGAGGGUGAUCGGCCACACUGGGACUGAGACACGGCCCAGACUCCUACGGGAGGCAGCAGUAGGGAAUCUUCCGCAAUGGACGAAAGUCUGACGGAGCAACGCCGCGUGAGUGAUGAAGGUUUUCGGAUCGUAAAACUCUGUUGUUAGGGAAGAACAAGUGCCAUUCGAAUAGGUUGGCACCUUGACGGUACCUAACCAGAAAGCCCCGGCUAACUACGUGCCAGCAGCCGCGGUAAUACGUAGGGGGCAAGCGUUGUCCGGAAUUAUUGGGCGUAAAGCGCGCGCAGGCGGUCCUUUAAGUCUGAUGUGAAAGCCCACGGCUUAACCGUGGAGGGCCAUUGGAAACUGGGGGACUUGAGUACAGAAGAGGAGAGUGGAAUUCCACGUGUAGCGGUGAAAUGCGUAGAGAUGUGGAGGAACACCAGUGGCGAAGGCGACUCUCUGGUCUGUAACUGACGCUGA
RNAcentral lists this ribosomal RNA (704 nucleotides) under Virgibacillus dokdonensis. Its description in RNAcentral is "bacterial SSU rRNA". It matches the Rfam family "Bacterial small subunit ribosomal RNA", at positions 68 to 749 of the family's 1533-position model. Lineage: Bacteria; Bacillati; Bacillota; Bacilli; Caryophanales; Bacillaceae. The record is from RNAcentral.